Molecule: long non-coding RNA, 326 nt
Organism: Folsomia candida
Lineage: Eukaryota; Metazoa; Arthropoda; Collembola; Entomobryomorpha; Isotomidae
Exons: 3
Source: RefSeq, a predicted model, not a curated record
AAGUGAAUAGGUUAUAGGUCGAAAAUUCGAAAAUUAGUGAAUAUAGUACAGGCGAACAGAGGGGGUAUCAAGAUGAAUUCUUCCGGACGCGUUCUAAUUGCUGCUCCGGUACUGCUGUUACUACUUUUCGUCGUCAAUUUGAUACAAAAUGCCGAAUCCGCAUCACUAACGAACAGGCUUCAGCUACUUGAUGACGAUGAUGUCCGAAAAAACAGGGAUGUCGAAUUUGAGGAUUUGAUGACAGGAGAAACCACCCAUGAUACGGAAAACUCAAUCCUUUGGCCGUGGUCGAGACGAAAACGGGACUCGGGUACAGAAGAUGACCA